GAUGAACGCUGGCGGCGUGCCUAAUACAUGCAAGUCGAGCGAACAGAUGAGGAGCUUGCUCCUCUGACGUUAGCGGCGGACGGGUGAGUAACACGUGGAUAACCUACCUAUAAGACUGGGAUAACUUCGGGAAACCGGAGCUAAUACCGGAUAAUAUAUUGAACCGCAUGGUGCAAUAGUGAAAGACGGUUUUGCUGUCACUUAUAGAUGGAUCCGCGCCGCAUUAGCUAGUGGGUAAGGUAACGGGUUACCAAGGCAACGAUGCGUAGACGACCUGAGAGGGUGAACGGCCACAUUGGAAGUGAGACACGGUCCAGACACAGACGGGGGGCAGCAGUAGGGAAUCUUCCGCAAUGGGCGAAAGCCUGACGGAGCAACGCCGCGUGAGGGAUGAAGGUCUUCGGAUCGUAAAACUCUGUUAUUAGGGAAGAACAAAUGUGUAAGUAACUAUGCACGUCUUGACGGUACCUAAUCAGAAAGCCACGGCUAACUACGUG
Molecule: ribosomal RNA, 497 nt
Filed under: uncultured bacterium
Lineage: Bacteria
Description: partial 16S ribosomal RNA
Rfam family: Bacterial small subunit ribosomal RNA
Source: RNAcentral